Molecule: transfer RNA, 127 nt
Filed under: Thermochaetoides thermophila DSM 1495
Lineage: Eukaryota; Fungi; Ascomycota; Sordariomycetes; Sordariales; Chaetomiaceae
Description: Chaetomium thermophilum var. thermophilum DSM 1495 tRNA
Rfam family: tRNA
About the family: Transfer RNA (tRNA) molecules are approximately 80 nucleotides in length. Their secondary structure includes four short double-helical elements and three loops (D, anti-codon, and T loops).
Source: Rfam by way of RNAcentral
GCGGGUUUAGCUCAGUUGGGAGAGCGUCAGACUGAAGAAUUGGAUCCCCAAAAGUCCAUAAACUUCAGGACCAAGAUCCACAUUGGGGGUUAUCUGAAGGUCGUGUGUUCGAUCCACACAAACCGCA